This 483-nucleotide ribosomal RNA is filed under the name uncultured diatom. Its description in RNAcentral is "SSU rRNA". It matches the Rfam family "Eukaryotic small subunit ribosomal RNA", at positions 451 to 939 of the family's 1831-position model. The record is from RNAcentral. Lineage: Eukaryota; Bacillariophyta.
CUGACACAGGGAGGUAGUGACAAUAAAUAACAAUGCCGGGCCUUUGUAGGUCUGGCAAUUGGAAUGAGAACAAUUUAAACCCCUUAUCGAGUAUCAAUUGGAGGGCAAGUCUGGUGCCAGCAGCCGCGGUAAUUCCAGCUCCAAUAGCGUAUAUUAAAGUUGUUGCAGUUAAAAAGCUCGUAGUUGGAUUUGUGGUGUACGCAGGCGGCCUGUCACAAUGUGUCGGAGCUUGCUUGCGUCGCCAUCCUUGGGUGGAUCCUGUGUGGCAUUCAGUUGUCGUGCAGGGGAUGCCCAUCGUUUACUGUGAAAAAUUAGAGUGUUCAAAGCAGGCUUAUGCCGUUGAAUAUAUUAGCAUGGAAUAAUAAGAUAGGACCUUGGUACUAUUUUGUUGGUUUGCGCACCAAGGUAAUGAUUAAUAGGGACAGUUGGGGGUGCUGCUAUUAUAUGGCCAGAGGUGAAAUUCACGGAUUCAUAUAAGAGCAA